This is a long non-coding RNA of Homalodisca vitripennis (glassy-winged sharpshooter), 1011 nucleotides long. RefSeq lists it as uncharacterized. The record is from RefSeq and is a predicted model, not a curated record. NCBI's taxonomy places the organism in Eukaryota, Metazoa, Arthropoda, Insecta, Hemiptera, Cicadellidae. The transcript is spliced from 2 exons.
UGCCAAUAUUAAGGCAAAAAUAUCAUUGUUUUAACAUCUGUUAAUACAUAUUUCAAUUAACUCCAUCAAUUGAGACUGUGAAGUACUUGCUUUUAUUUGUUUUCCUUGCACUAAAGGCAUAAAAGCAAUUGAAGUUCACUGUCAGAAUUGUGAAGUGUAUGUACAAAACAGUAAGAGUAAUGAAACAAAAUUAAAAUGGGAAAGAGCUUUAAAUUAUGUUCCUGAUGAGAAAUGGAGCGGAUCACUCUCUGAGGGUCACCAAAAAUUUUGGUGCGGGAAGUGAAUGAUAAAGUGAAAAUGAAAAGACAUUUCACAAUUUCAAGUUCCUCAAGUUUUAAGAAGUGUUCUCUGUGACAUUUUUAUUGAAUGUUUAUACUAUUGAGGAACAUGGUUUGUUGCAUAACAAUAUGUCCCUCUACAUGCAGCAAAACGAACUCAAGAUCUCAUCACAGCAUUUUGCUAUGAACAAAUUGAUAAGCCUCCAAACAGCUCCAAUUUACCAAAUGACCAUAAUCUGUUUUUUCAACAGAAGCAUCUUGAAGGAUAGCGCCCUAAUGACAAUGGCGUAAAAAUAAUUGUGUCACAGCUGCUGUUAAAUCAGGCAGCAAUCUUCUCUCACAACGACAUGUGGAAACAGCCUCAAUGUGACUAACGCCAAAUGUGAUGCUAUGAGAGGAACUCUCGCUCCAAGUCAGUGAUGGAAGGUCGCCUAUUGCGUGAAGUCUCACGUUUGCGGGCCUGCAGAGGUACCGUCACGUCCUGCGUCUGUCCAUGCGUUGGUAGAUCCAGCAGGUUGGUAGCAGUGAUGGGAGAGAACCGCACACGAGACACGGAGUUGGAGGAACUCUCCUUGGCAGAGACGUAGCUGCUGUCCUCGCUGGUGAGGCUAUCUGGUGGCGUGGGGUUGGUUGGUGUUCCUGCAUUGAUAACAUAUUCAAUAAUACUGGAAAAUUAAUAUCACUAAAGUAAUUAGUUUAUCUCUCAGCAAUGAAUAAACGAUUCUUCAAAGUA